Long non-coding RNA from Oncorhynchus gorbuscha (pink salmon), 397 nucleotides. RefSeq lists it as uncharacterized. NCBI's taxonomy places the organism in Eukaryota, Metazoa, Chordata, Actinopteri, Salmoniformes, Salmonidae. The transcript is spliced from 5 exons. The record is from RefSeq and is a predicted model, not a curated record.
GUGAUCUCAGUGAGAACCAGAUUCAAGGGGUUCCCAGGAAAGCCUUCAGGGGAGCCGUAGAAAUAAAGAACCUCCAGCUGGAUUAUAACCAGAUCAGCUGUAUAGAGGACGGAGCGUUCAGAGCUCUACGAGACCUGGAAGUACUAACUCUGAACAACAACAAUAUAAGUCGUCUGUCGGUGGCAAGUUUCAACCACAUGCCCAAACUGAGAACCUUUCGUCUCCACUCCAACAACCUGUUCUGCGACUGUCACGUGGCCUGGUUGUCAGAGUGGUUGAGGCAGCGUCCCCGUCUGGGUCUCUACACACAGUGCAUGUCCCCUCCUUCCAUGAGGGGACACAACGUGGCUGAGGUCCAGAAGAAAGAGUUCGUAUGCACAGGCCACCAGUCCUCCCC